This 253-nucleotide ribosomal RNA is filed under the name uncultured bacterium. Its description in RNAcentral is "partial 16S ribosomal RNA". It matches the Rfam family "Bacterial small subunit ribosomal RNA", at positions 524 to 776 of the family's 1533-position model. The record is from RNAcentral.
UACGUAGGGUGCAAGCGUUGUCCGGAAUUAUUGGGCGUAAGGAGCUCGUAGGCGGUUUGUCGCGUCGGCUGUGAAAACCCGGGGCUCAACCCCGGGCCUGCAGUCGAUACGGGCAAACUAGAGUGUGGUAGGGGAGACUGGAAUUCCUGGUGUAGCGGUGAAAUGCGCAGAUAUCAGGAGGAACACCGGUGGCGAAGGCGGGUCUCUGGGCCAUAACUGACGCUGAGGAGCGAAAGCGUGGGGAGCGAACAGG